GAUGAACGCUGGCGGCGUGCCUAAUACAUGCAAGUCGAGCGAACGGACGAGAAGCUUGCUUUUCUGAUGUUAUCGGCGGACGGGUGAGUAACACGUGGAUAACCUACCUAUAAGACUGGGCUAACUUCGGGAAACCGGAGCUAAUACCGGAUAAUAUUUUGAACCGCAUGGUUCAAAAGGGAAAGACGGUCUUGCUGUCACUGAUAGAUGAAUCCGCGCUGCAUUAGCUAGUUGGUAAGGUAACGGCUUACCAAGGCAACGAUGCAUAGCCGACCUGAGAGGGUGAUCGGCCACCCUGGAAAUGAGACACGGUCCAGACUCCUGAGGGAGGCAGCAGUAGGGAAUCUUCCGCAAUGGGCGAAAGCCUGACGGAGCAACGCCGCGUGAGUGAUGAAGGUCGUCGGAUCGUAAAACGCUGUUAUUAGGGAAGAACAUAUGUGUAAGUAACUGUGCACAUCUGGACGGUACCUAAUCAGAGAGCCACGGCUAACUACGUG
Molecule: ribosomal RNA, 497 nt
Filed under: uncultured bacterium
Lineage: Bacteria
Description: partial 16S ribosomal RNA
Rfam family: Bacterial small subunit ribosomal RNA
Source: RNAcentral